GCAUAUCAAUAAGCGGAGGAAAAGAAACUAACAAGGAUUCCCCUAGUAACUGCGAGUGAAGCGGGAAAAGCUCAAAUUUAAAAUCUGGUGGUCUUUGGCCAUCCGAGUUGUAAUCUAGAGAAGUGUUACCCGCGUCGGACCGUGUAUAAGUCUCCUGGAAUGGAGCGUCAUAGAGGGUGAGAAUCCCGUCUUUGACACGGACUACCGAGGCUUUGUGGUGCGCUCUCAACGAGUCGAGUUGUUUGGGAAUGCAGCUCAAAAUGGGUGGUAAAUUCCAUCUAAAGCUAAAUAUUGGCGAGAGACCGAUAGCGAACAAGUACCGUGAGGGAAAGAUGAAAAGAACUUUGGAAAGAGAGUUAAACAGUACGUGAAAUUGCUGAAAGGGAAACGCUUGAAGUCAGUCGCGUUGGCCGGAAAUCAGCCUUGCUUUUGCUGGGUGUACUUUCUGGUUGACGGGCCAGCAUCAGUUUUGACCGGUGGAAAAAGUUCAAGGGAAUGUGGCAUCUUCGGAUGUGUUAUAGCCCUUGGUCGUAUACAUCGGUUGGGACUGAGGAACUCAGCACGCCGAAAGGCCGGGUCAUUGACCACGUUCGUGCUUAGGAUGCUGGCAUAAUGGCUUUAAUCGACCCGUCUUGAAACACGGACCAAGGAGUCUAACAUGCCUGCGAGUGUUUGGGUGGAAAACCCGGACGCGUAAUGAAAGUGAAAGUUGAGAUCCCUGUCAUGGGGAGCAUCGACGCCCGGACCAGAAGUUCUCUGACGGCCCUGCGGUAGAGCAUGUAUGUUGGGACCCGAAAGAUGGUGAACUAUGCCUGAAUAGGGUGAAGCCAGAGGAAACUCUGGUGGAGGCUCGUAGCGAUUCUGACGUGCAAAUCGAUCGUCAAAUUUGGGUAUAGGGGGCGAAAGACUAAUCGAAACCAUCUAGUAGCUGGUUCCUGCCGAG
Molecule: ribosomal RNA, 943 nt
Filed under: Psathyrella prona
Lineage: Eukaryota; Fungi; Basidiomycota; Agaricomycetes; Agaricales; Psathyrellaceae
Description: LSU rRNA
Rfam family: Eukaryotic large subunit ribosomal RNA
Source: RNAcentral